AUGCCUGUCUGGACAGGGGCUGGGGCAGCAAACUAUCAAGGGAGGACCGAUAGGAUCAAAUUCCUUUUCACAGAACAAAUGCUUCUUUGAGGAUAAGCAGGACCGGCCCGAGGCCGUGGAGGACGCAGAUGAGUCACCGGAGAAGGGACCAGAACUAAGAACGCAUUGCAUCCCUCAGCCAACGCUGGAUGCUCCUCUGUGCCAGACACUGCCCUGGGCCUUAAGGACAGAGCAGAGAACGAAGCAGCCAAGGCCUCAGCCUUGUGCGGUUCACACACAAGGAGAGGAAACGGAAAAUAAAAGAAUUCCGAUUGUGGGAGGUUUUAUGAGGGAAAUAAACUGAGUGAUGCGAAGCAGGGGUUGGCAAACUACGGCCCGCGGGCCAGAUCCCGCUCCAGGGCUCUUUGUCCGCCAGCAAGCUAAGAACGGUUUUACGUGUCUAAAGCUUGUAAAAAAGAAAAAGAAUAUGCCACAGAGACCGUACAGCCCACAAAGCCUGGAGGUUUGCUCUCUGUAUGGAAAAAGUCUGCCAACUCCUGGCGAGAGCAGGGGCAGCUCUGAACUAGUAAGGUCUGCGCUCCUACCUCGUAACGCGGCCUCUUUCUACUCCCCCAGAGCUGCCUCCACCUCAGGGAGAAUAAAACAUUGAAAUGGUUCGUCAAAAGUUCACCGGAGUUGGCAACCUGCCCGCAGCCAAGAGUCCGGAUUUCCGGACGCCUCCUUCCCCACCUGCUGUCUGGGGUCUUAAGUAACCUGGUCCUCAAUCUGGCCACAGCUGUGCCUGCCCCUCUCCCCAACCGGCAGGCCCAGGAGCCACACAGGCAACAGCUUCUCCCACGGACCCCCAAGCUUCUCCCACGGACCCCCAACCCCUCCGCUCACCUCCGACUCCCGCCUGAACUACUUGGUCAAAAAUAGAACCGGGUGGAUCCCUAUUUCAAGGCACCUCCCUGGAAAUCCAAUACCCAGAAACACUGACUUCUUUUAUUUCAGUCAAAUACAUUUCUCAGUCCAAGGCUCAGAGUUCAACUUUACAAACCCUGGCAUUUGGAAACAAAGGAAGAGAUGUUUAUGUCCAAAGAAAAUCAAAUAGUCACCUCUAGCUCCCCUGGAAGGAAAGUCCAUAGGACACAUUCCAGCAGAAACUGUGAAUGGAAACCCACGGGAAGCAAGAAGUAUGGCACAAAGCCCUGAGCUCACCACUCAGCAGCAUCUGUGACACAUUCCGCCACAUUUCUGUGCCAAACGGGAACUCAGCUGUCUCUUAAAAAAUAUCUGUCCCAUCAAUGUUCAACACAGAGCCUCUCCUCUUACACAGCCCUCACCCUGGAAGGUUCCAGAAGACCAUUUUGUUCACAGUGAAAUCUCGAGUAAAUUUCACUCGAACAGUUAACUUUGAAAUUGUUACACUAGCCAUUCCCUAACAUUAAAAUAACUCGCAUGUGCACACAAAGGGAUACAAUAAAUUCUUACUAUGGUGAUGGGGAAACGUCUCGUGAAAGGUGAUGGAUGGAACACGCUCACCUGUGAUUCCUCCCCGAAUCCUAUUAAAACCCUAGUAAAGAGAUUCUUUAAAGGAAUAAAUGCACAAGAAUAUAAAGAGUAAGAAACAGCAGGCACUAAAUUUGGAAGCUGGAAAGCAGAUGGAUAAAUGGUAACCAAUAGACUAGAAGCCAGAAAGCCGAGGGGAGAAAGCUAAGACUCCACCUGAUUCACACAAAAGACCCCCCAGCAGGAGGGAGCAGCUACAGGGCCUCCUGGCCGGAGGGUGAAAGAGGGGUUGGAAACAGAAGGAUUAGCUGAGAGUCGACCUAAGGAGAAGUGAGACCUCUCCCAUCCCCCAUAGUUGGCCAAAAGCCCCUUCUGCCUCCAGAAGGCUGGAAGCUGAGUCUUUGGAGAAAGUGAAACAGGAUGUCCACACUAGGGACAUCAAGGACCUAUGGGAAGGAAGGACCUGAGCCAAAAAUAGGAAAUCAAAUCACAGCUGACACACUGGACAUCGAGAGCCACAGUCUUCUUCCCCGACUCAGAUCUCAGAGUGCCAACAAAAAAGGAGAUUGGAAAAUUUCACUGAGGAAUCUGAUCAAGUCAAAAGAGCUGCGGGAGCUAACAUUUGUUUUGUGUCCUCUGAGGACAAAUGAUAGACAGGUAACAAUGUUUUCCCUGCUUUUCUUUCCGGGAACACUUAAUUUAGAAUUAACUUCUGUCAGAGAAAACAAUUGCCUGCACCUACUCUAUAUUAUUUCCCACUGUUGCUAUUUCAGAGGGGGAAACAGUACACUGCGUUUGACAUGUCUGAUUACAAGUUUACAGUCUACUUAUGUUUCUGCUGAUACUGUUUCUCAAGGCAGCUGAACAAAAUCACCCUGCAGCAGGGUCUCCACUUUACCUGCAAUUAGUAUCAACUGGGGAGCUUUCAAACCAUAUGGACGGCAGAGCCCCACCCUCCAGAGACUCUGAUGCAGUCAGGCAGGGAGGGGUCAGGCAUCCUAGUUGUAAAACUCCCCAGGUGAUUCUAAUCUGCAGCAAAAAUUAAAAACCACUGAAACGGAAAACACUAAAAAAGUGAAGCCUGCAGUUGACAAGGCCACUCAUGCAAUCAGAGCACCCAAAGAGCAUUUUAGUAUCUACUUUUAAAUGUGACUGGACAGGCAGGGGUCACUAGAUAUCUGAGAAGAACUUAUACUGUGAAAGACAGAACAAAAUAAUCAAGUACAUGAAAGCUACUUGGAGGAAACAGAAAUGACUCAGGAAGAGAAAAAUCUUUGGGGGAAAGGGAGUAUCAUCAAUUUCUCAGAUCUUAGAUUCUCAAAG
Molecule: long non-coding RNA, 2814 nt
Filed under: Equus caballus (horse)
Lineage: Eukaryota; Metazoa; Chordata; Mammalia; Perissodactyla; Equidae
Description: lncRNA (ENSECAG00000049545.1)
Source: RNAcentral